AAUAUAAGACCACCAAAUAUAAGUGCCCCGAAUAUAAGCCCAGUAGCCCACUACGUUAUUCAACAUUGACAUUGUCUUUUAAAGGGGCCCUACAGUCAUUUUUUAGUCGAAAAGCCACCUUAAGUAUUGUUUACAUUUUUUGUUAUUGUUACUACUUGACAUACGCAUCACAGCAUGCAUGCGCCUUUCAGUGUGGGGAAGUACUCAUACUCAUGGAUACUGCAUGUAGUCCCCUACUAAAGGUGGCUUUUCAACUAAAAAAUGACUGUAGGGCAGAGAACGAUAUUUAAAAACAUGGUCAUUGUCUUUAUAGCCAACUGUGUUAAUCAAAGCACCUUAUUAAUACAUGUUUAUUUUUCUGUUUAUGACUGACUUGUUUAUGGCUGACUUGUUUAAUACUAACACAAAAGAUCGUCCAUGUAUUAGCCCCCGUAUAUAAUCCCCCCCCCCUCUCCCCCCUUGUAUAAACCCGUCAAAAAUUGCUUACAAAAGUAUAUAAGCCCAGGGCUUAUAGUCAGAUGUUUACGGUAUUUGGCUAGGUGAUUGGCAGCUGACGGGUUAUUACCCAUUCUAAUAACAGGUUUAACUACUGACAUGUAAUUUUAACAGAUUGUUUGGCCAAGUAAAACAGUGAAUGCAAUGUUUUAAAGUUAAUAUCUCGUUUAUUUCAAAUGUCAAUUUUAAAAACUCAAACCGUGUGGACAAACCAAAUAUUGUAAACAAACCAAAUACCGUAAACCUCCAAUUAUAAGCCCUGGACUUAUAUAAGUUAGUAAGC
This is a non-coding RNA of Paramuricea clavata, 778 nucleotides long. NCBI's taxonomy places the organism in Eukaryota, Metazoa, Cnidaria, Anthozoa, Malacalcyonacea, Plexauridae. The record is from the annotation of a GenBank genome assembly.